UGCAGACAGUCCGCACCUGCACCUCAUCAGCCUCCUCUUCUGCCUGCCACACCUGCCAGCAAUCAGCCUCAUCUCUCCAGUACUUCAACCCCGGUUCUCCACACAAUCACUGCUUGAUCGUCAUUGCUCCUAACCUGGUUCACUCACCUCUGUCCUCUGUUGUGUCAGCUGGGCUCACCACCCUGCCCUCUCCCCUGGGACCUCCUCCACGGCUCUUCCCCGUGCCCCCCAGCUCACCUGUCUCAGUCUCCUCCGUUCCCCGCACCCAUGUUUCCCCGGCAUCUGCCUCUCCCUCCCCCUCAACCCCUUUUUUCCCUUUAAUAAAACCUGUUCAUCCUGA
Molecule: long non-coding RNA, 340 nt
Organism: Micropterus dolomieu (smallmouth bass)
Lineage: Eukaryota; Metazoa; Chordata; Actinopteri; Centrarchiformes; Centrarchidae
Exons: 2
Source: RefSeq, a predicted model, not a curated record